RNAcentral lists this long non-coding RNA (248 nucleotides) under Capsella rubella. Its description in RNAcentral is "long non-coding RNA (CRUB_LNC004835)". The record is from RNAcentral. Lineage: Eukaryota; Viridiplantae; Streptophyta; Magnoliopsida; Brassicales; Brassicaceae.
UUUUCUUUUCUUUCUUUAGAAUGCUUUUUACCAAAUUAAGUAACCGAAAGAAGAUAUUUUCUUUUCGAAAAGUCAUUAAAAAUAUUGCUGGUCAUAUUAAAACAUAAUUAAAGAAAAAAAAAGGUAUUGGUAGAUUACAAGUAAGAUUUGCUUUCAUUCACCUUUUUAGUAAGAAUAAGAAUUGAGAAAUCUCUCACAAGAGCCAUGCGAUUGAAACCUUACCUAACAUAUUUUUUCUUAGUCAAAAU